Perognathus longimembris pacificus (Pacific pocket mouse) is the source of this 503-nucleotide long non-coding RNA. RefSeq lists it as uncharacterized. NCBI's taxonomy places the organism in Eukaryota, Metazoa, Chordata, Mammalia, Rodentia, Heteromyidae. The transcript has 3 exons. The record is from RefSeq and is a predicted model, not a curated record.
UAGAAAUUGACUAAGGCAGAAUGAAUUCUAUAUUAUAUCCAUGCAAAGUAACUGCAUAUGUGAAUAUUAUAAAAAAUAAGAAUUGAAUGAACUACAUCUAUAUAUCAAAAAAUAAUGCCGCUUACAAAGAAAAUUCUAUAGAUGUGUUUCCUGCCUCAUAAAUACCAUGACUCACACAUUAGGCUAUAAGAAAGAUACUGAGAAAUAGGGUAGGGAAGAAAGAAGGGGCGGUCACAAAACUUCAAGCAAACACAAGAUUAGUCCUUCAAGUGAAAUACAAAUCAAGGGUAAAUGGGCAAAAAGCAUUUCAAGUCUGAAUGAAAGGAAAAUGCUUCACUUCCUUCCCAUAGAUUAUCACUCAUUUCUAAUUUUCCUUUCCUGGGAGCCUUUGGGGAAAAAAGUCUGGUUCCAUUAUCUGGCCAAGCACUGAUAAGUCAAUGAAACAUUAUAGGAGCACUGGGCUGGGAAUAUGGCCUAGUGGCAAGAGUGCUUGCCUUGUAUAC